This 253-nucleotide ribosomal RNA is filed under the name uncultured bacterium. RNAcentral's name for it is "partial 16S ribosomal RNA". It matches the Rfam family "Bacterial small subunit ribosomal RNA", at positions 524 to 776 of the family's 1533-position model. The record is from RNAcentral.
UACGGAGGGGGCUAGCGUUGUUCGGAAUUACUGGGCGUAAAGCGCACGUAGGCGGCUUUGUAAGUCAGAGGUGAAAGCCCGGAGCUCAACUCCGGAAUUGCCUUUGAGACUGCAUCGCUUGAAUCCAGGAGAGGUGAGUGGAAUUCCGAGUGUAGAGGUGAAAUUCGUAGAUAUUCGGAAGAACACCAGUGGCGAAGGCGACUUACUGGACACAUAUUGACGCUGAGGUGCGAAAGCGUGGGGAGCAAACAGG